GGGCCUCCACAGGCUUGAUCUCACAACCCUGAGAGUCAGACGCUUAACCGACUGAGUUACCCAGGCACUCCUACUUCCUAGAAACUUCUUAAGCUCCAGCAAAUAGACCCUAAAUAGUCCCGAGAGAAUAUUCCGGAGAUCAUUCUGCAUCAAAUCCAUGGCUUUUCUGACCCAGGAUCCCUAAGAUUGGCUGGUUCGGGUUAAUAGGAAGAUCUAAACAGCAAGGCCACACCGUGUUCUGGAGGGUUUACGUCAGCACCUCACGGUACCGCCUUCCUUCUGGGGAUACCAUGCUCCCCACCAAGUCUCAGCGCCCCUCUCCUGUACGCCUGCACAGUGGUUUUCCGUUUCCCAAAAGCAUAGCAACUAAUCUCAUCUCUGAAAGAACUUUUCCUGACGGUAAAGAAGACAAUAAAUGAGACGUGAACUCCAAGGCUUUGAAAGGAGCCAAGAUGGCGGGAGAGGCGCGCCUUCUCGACUUCAGGGCAUGUGGUGUUUCAGGGAUGACUCACUGCCUAUUCCCGUGGCUGGAGCCUCGAGGCCCUGCCGAUUACCUGAACAGUUUCUGUCCGCAGGUCCUUUGGGCCCAAACGCUCAUGGUCAGUGAUGAAGGGGGCCGGGAAGCACCAUUCACCCUAUAGGAGUUUGAUAAUAAAUACUCAGGUUUGUGUCUUCACGGAGCCAUGAGACUCCGAUGCCGACUCUAAUUUGGGGCAACUCUUGGAGUCUCCCAAGAAGGGAAAUGCAGAGGUGGAGCCCAAACCUACCUUCCCUGCACGGGGUAUUUCCAGGCCCAGAGCAGCGCCCUCUAGAGGAUCAGACGUGUUAAGUGGGAACGGGCAGCCUCAGGACCACCUCCCUGGGUCACACAGUUACCUCUCCCUCCAAGCCAGUUGUCAGACUGGGAGGGCAGUCACCUGCAAGCCACUUGACUUCAGAUUUGGCCUCAGAUCCGUGUGUUUUGGGCACAACGGCUCUCUUCCUGAAUACCGCCAUCGUGACGAGGAAUGAUGAAGUGCGAAGGACUCCCUGGAGGGUUGGUGGUAACACAUUUUGCUGAUUGAAAAAUAAAAGAAUAAGAUAGGUG
Molecule: long non-coding RNA, 1087 nt
Organism: Callorhinus ursinus (northern fur seal)
Lineage: Eukaryota; Metazoa; Chordata; Mammalia; Carnivora; Otariidae
Source: RefSeq, a predicted model, not a curated record